UAGGGAAUCUUCCGCAAUGGGCGAAAGCCUGACGGAGCAACGCCGCGUGAGUGAUGAAGGUCUUCGGUUUGUAAAACUCUGUUAUUAGGGAAGAACAAAUGUGUAAGUAACUAUGAACGUCUUGACGGUACCUAAUCAGAAAGCCACGGCUAACUACGUGCCAGCAGCCGCGGUAAUACGUAGGUGGCAAGCGUUAUCCGGAAUUAUUGGGCGUAAAGCGCGCGUAGGCGGUUUUGUAAGUCUGAUGUGAAAGCCCACGGCUCAACCGUGGAGGGUCAGUGGAAACUGGAAAACUUGAGAGCAGAAGAGGGAAGUGGAAUUCCAUGUGUAGCGGUGAAAUGCGCAGAGAUAUGGGGGAACACCAGUGGCGAAGGCGACUUUCUGGGCUGUAACUGACGCUGAUGUGCGAAAGCGUGGGGAGCAAACAGG
Molecule: ribosomal RNA, 429 nt
Filed under: Actinomycetes bacterium
Lineage: Bacteria; Bacillati; Actinomycetota; Actinomycetes
Description: Actinobacteria bacterium partial 16S ribosomal RNA
Rfam family: Bacterial small subunit ribosomal RNA
Source: RNAcentral